This 382-nucleotide ribosomal RNA is filed under the name uncultured bacterium. Its description in RNAcentral is "bacterial SSU rRNA". It matches the Rfam family "Bacterial small subunit ribosomal RNA", at positions 508 to 889 of the family's 1533-position model. The record is from RNAcentral.
CCAGCAGCCGCGGUAAGACGAACCGUGCCAAACCUUGUUCGGAUCCACUGGGCUCAAAGGGCGGUUAGGCGGUUUACCAGUCGGGGUUGAAAUCUUUCGGCCUAACCGGAAAAGUGGCUUCGAUACUGGUAGACUGGAGGGAGGUAGGGGCAGAUGGAACUUCCGGUGGAGCGGUGAAAUGUGUUGAUAUCGGAAGGAACGCCGGUGGCGAAAGCGAUCUGCUGGACCUCUUCUGACGCUGAGGCGCGAAAGCCAGGGGAGCAAACGGGAUUAGAUACCCCGGUAGUCCUGGCCCUAAACGAUGGGUACUGAGUAGUGGACUUGCAUGGGUUCACUGCUGAAGCAAAAGUGGUAAGUACCCCGCCUGGGGAGUGAUGGUCGC